Molecule: long non-coding RNA, 1702 nt
Organism: Agrilus planipennis (emerald ash borer)
Lineage: Eukaryota; Metazoa; Arthropoda; Insecta; Coleoptera; Buprestidae
Exons: 7
Source: RefSeq, a predicted model, not a curated record
GAUGUUUUGCGUAUGGUAUAAAUAUAGCGUUCGAAUUCUAUUUCUCCUCGGUUUCCCGUGCACCAGGAGUGCGGCGCGGCGAGGUGCGUCCGUGAUCGUGGCGACGUCGUUGUCGUCGUACGUCCCGGUGGCAGCGGCCCAACAUGCCAAUGAUCACACAGGAUGCUGUGUAAAGUAUAAUAUAUUUAUAUCCAAAAAGGGGAUGUUGAUGUGCAAAAACUGGUUAAUUGCUUGGCUGGUUCUGGCGAAAUGCUAAUGGAUAAGUAAGGUUUUAUAGUACAUGUACAUGGUGUUUUGGAUCAGUGACUGCGACAACCGAUUGGUAAAUAAAUAGAAAAGCAGAGUGUUGAAGCCCUCAGUUAAUGCUUUGUGGCAAGAAGCGACCCUGCAACAUGUGAGAGAGUACUCUCCGCUGUCUUAGCGCUCGGGUGAACGAACUUGGCGAUUCAAUGAGUUACGGAUCUGAAUGAACGGGGCGAUGUCGAAGGCCUCGUGCUUCGCGCCAAAUGAACCUAGGGCACCCCACCGUGGGUUUUAAAUAACGCUGAAACUCGCACGAAGAAAUCAGAAGAUGACGUGAUGGAAUCCGCACGCGUUAAUUACCCCCCUUUUGAACCAUGACAAAAAUAGAAACGGACUGGUUAAAACAAACACAACAAACGAUUAGAAACUCGGAAAAUAGGAAAUGGAAUGAUUAACAAGAGAUUUACGGAUUAGCUUACCCCCAGUUGUAUAUGACAGGUCAGUAAUUACCACAAGUAUUCUGAUGCACUAGGAUCAUGGCAGACACAAAUUUAAAUUUUGUUACGGAGCAGGACGAUAGCUGGGUGUAGAGCUCGCGGUUGCCACGGUGACGACCGUGAAAGCGUAGGUCUAGGACAGCCUCCCGCCUACGUACCCUGCGAAAAGCGCCUACCACGGGGAUUCCCAUUUCAAUAAAGACGGCACCCAUGGUUGCUUAGGGUGGUUCCGUUUAAUAAUUAUUUUAACAUACUUACUACCCAUCCUAGGAACUCACGUGUCCAAACUUUAAUCAUUGUAAAAGUGGUCACCGCUGAAAUUAUGUCAUCCCCAUGAUAAUUGUGUUAUUAGAUCACUUUGCAAGGCACGGCAGAGGUGGUUGCACCAGGCGACUAAACGAAACAUGCUAAUUCCUGUAAUUAAUUUACUGGAAGAUUCUCGGUAUACGCAUCCACCUAUGUGACACCCUUUGGAUUUUUGAAAAUUCCUACAGAUCCAUUUUGGAUAAUCGUCGCUUUUAUGAUUCAAGAAUUAAACGAUGGGCAAAGAAUACAGUCUCGCAAAAUCUAGUCAAAAAGUGAUCUAAUCUCUACAGUUGUGAGAGAUACAUGUUAUGUCCGAUUAGCCUUAAUAAAAUCAUUAAAGAGUUUAGAGUUUUCUAGAAUGGAAAAAAAGAUAUGAAUAAGUGGUUUCUUCAUCAAUAAAAUAAAAAUAUAAGUGGCGAAAUAAUUAUGAAAAACCAAAUUUAAUCAUUCGCAAGUAAGUGGAAAUGAUAAACAAUUUACAGUGAGUGACGGCUAACAGAUGGCUACAAGAAUUUGAAAUUCGGUUUUUAUAAAUUUCUACGGAAAAAUUAUCCCAUGAACCAGAACUGUCUUUUAAUGAAUAUGUAUCAUACCUAUUACUGUUUUAUAUUUUUAUGUAUGUUUAUAUUGCUAAUGAUAGAAAUUACCACAUAUUA